Molecule: long non-coding RNA, 631 nt
Organism: Amphimedon queenslandica
Lineage: Eukaryota; Metazoa; Porifera; Demospongiae; Haplosclerida; Niphatidae
Exons: 5
Source: RefSeq, a predicted model, not a curated record
GACUUGCCGCACUGGCUGACCACGUGUUGGACUUCUUCAGUCCUUUGAGCUUCUUCUCGUUCUUUUGUUCCUUGACUAUUUUUGACUUCAAGACAGUACCUAAUAAUGUAUAGUACCACUCUCUCUCCAUCUUGUAGGUGAUGUUUCAGAAAUUGUUCAAAAGAAGGUGCUCGUUGAAGUUGUUGCCAUUAGUUACGAGGAGCCACGCCCACUUAAAAAAAAACAGAAAAGCUGCAGAGAUGAUUUUAGCAGGUGUUGCAUUGAAGCUAAAAUAAAAAUAAAAUCUGUUGAUAGUGUCAGUAUCUAUAUUGAGUCAAAUUUUACUUGUCAAUCUGGAAUCAGUAUUUAGGAGGUUAAUUUGACCUUUGUGUGUUCUGGUGACCUUUCAAACUGAAGCCCAUAUCAUGACUUACAGUAUUGAAUUGAUCAUACACCUCUCUACCUCUCGGACUUUCUGCAUUGCAAGAUAGUCAGCAUAAGGUUAUGGUAUACUGUUACUGUUCUUAUGGGGUACCCAAUGUAUGCUCCUUUUCAUCAAAGAGGAAGAAUUACUCUAACAACUAGAUCAGUAGCGUUGCUGAGGAAAUGACUGUUGCUAUGACAACUGUACAUAUACAUGUACAUCAAUGAA